This 349-nucleotide ribosomal RNA is filed under the name uncultured eukaryote. RNAcentral's name for it is "partial 18S ribosomal RNA". It matches the Rfam family "Eukaryotic small subunit ribosomal RNA", at positions 592 to 975 of the family's 1831-position model. The record is from RNAcentral.
CAAUAGCGUAUAUUAAAGUUGUUGCAGUUAAAACGCUCGUAGUUGAACACCUGCCCUUUUCCGGUUAGGUCCGCUCUGCGUGCACCUUCCGAAAUCGGCAUCCGUCUGCGUUGCUUCGCAUUGCAGACCGUUCACUUUGAGGAAAUUAGAGUGUUCAAAGCAGGCUUACGCCUUGAAUACUUCAGCAUGGAAUGAUUGAUAGGACUUCUAUCCUAUCUUGGUUCUAGGGACAGAAGUAAUGGUAAACAGGGUUGGUUGGGGGCAUUCGUACUGAACAGUCAGAGGUGAAAUUCUUAGAUUUGUUCAAGACGAACAACUGCGAAAGCAUUUGCCAAGGACGACCCCAUUA